CCCUUAGAUGUUCUGGGCCGCACGCGCGCUACACUGACUGCUCCAACAAGUUACCUGGGCUGACAAGCAUCCGGGAAAUCUUGCAAAGGCAGUCGUGAUGGGGAUAGAUUCUUGUAAUUUUUGAUCUUCAACGAGGAAUUCCUAGUAAACGCAAGUCAUCAGCUUGCAUUGAUUACGUCCCUGCCCUUUGUACACACCGCCCGUCGCAUCUACCGAUUGAGUGGAGAGGCAAAAUCUUCGGACCGUGACGCUUGGGAGUCAAAUCUCGGGCUGUCGUGGGAAGUGGAUUAAACCUUUCUAUUUAGAGGAAGGUAAAGUCGUAACA
Molecule: ribosomal RNA, 325 nt
Filed under: uncultured eukaryote
Lineage: Eukaryota
Description: partial 18S ribosomal RNA
Rfam family: Eukaryotic small subunit ribosomal RNA
Source: RNAcentral